AUUGAACGCUGGCGGCAGGCCUAACACAUGCAAGUCGAGCGGAUGAAGGGAGCUUGCUCCUGGAUUCAGCGGCGGACGGGUGAGUAAUGCCUAGGAAUCUGCCUGGUAGUUGGGGAUAACGUCCGGACACGGGCGCUUAUACCGCAUACGUCCUGAGGGUGAAAGUGGGGGAUCUUCGGACCUACCGCUAUCUGAUGAGCCUAGGUCGGAUUAGCUAGUUGGUAGGGUAAAGUCCUACCAAGGCGACGAUCCGUAACUGGUCUGAGAGGAUGAUCAGUCACACUGGAACUGAGACACGGUCCAGACUCCUACGGGAGGCAGCAGUGGGGAAUAUUGGACAAUGGGCGAAAGCCUGAUCCAGCCAUGCCGCGUGUGUGAAGAAGGUCUUCGGAUUGUAAAGCACUUUAAGUUGGGAGGAAGGGCAGUAAGUUAAUACCUUGCUGUUUUGACGUUACCAACAGAAUAAGCACCGGCUAACUUCGUG
RNAcentral lists this ribosomal RNA (484 nucleotides) under uncultured bacterium. Its description in RNAcentral is "partial 16S ribosomal RNA". It matches the Rfam family "Bacterial small subunit ribosomal RNA", at positions 30 to 507 of the family's 1533-position model. The record is from RNAcentral.